Molecule: non-coding RNA, 102 nt
Organism: Acanthosepion pharaonis
Lineage: Eukaryota; Metazoa; Mollusca; Cephalopoda; Sepiida; Sepiidae
Source: the annotation of a GenBank genome assembly
UAUGGCCCUAUCAUGUUGAAACACCAGUUCUCAUCUGAUCACUAAAGUUAAGCAAUGUUGAGCCUGGUCAGUACCUAGAUAGGUACUGCUUGGGAAUAUCAG